AGGUGCUGCACGGCUGUCGUCAGCUCGUGUCGUGAGAUGUUGGGUUAAGUCCCGCAACGAGCGCAACCCUCGUGUUUAGUUACUAACAGUUCGGCUGAGGACUCUAGACAGACUGCCUGGGUAACCAGGAGGAAGGUGAGGACGACGUCAAGUCAUCAUGGCCCUUACGGCCAGGGCUACACACGUGCUACAAUGGGGUAUACAAAGAGCCGCAAUACCGUGAGGUGGAGCAAAUCUCAUAAAAUAUCUCCCAGUUCGGAUAGCAGUCUGCAACUCGACUGCUUGAAGUUGGAAUCGCUAGUAAUCGUGAAUCAGCAACGUCACGGUGAAUACGUUCCCGGGUCUUGUACUCACCGCCCGUCACACCAUGGGAAUUGAAUUCAUUCGAAGCGGGGAUGCUAAAAUAGCUACCUUCCACAGUGGAUUUAGUGACUAGGGUGAAGUCGUAACAAGGUA
RNAcentral lists this ribosomal RNA (456 nucleotides) under uncultured bacterium. RNAcentral describes it as "bacterial SSU rRNA". It matches the Rfam family "Bacterial small subunit ribosomal RNA", at positions 1036 to 1498 of the family's 1533-position model. The record is from RNAcentral.